GACGGGUGAGUAACGCGCGGGUAACCUGCCCUGUACAGGGGGAUAACAGUCAGAAAUGACUGCUAAUACCGCAUAAGACCACAGCACCGCAUGGUGCAGGGGUAAAAACUACCGGUGGUACAGGAUGGACCCGCGUCUGAUUAGCUGGUUGGUGAGGUAACGGCUCACCAAGGCGACGAUCAGUAGCCGGCUUGAGAGAGUGAACGGCCACAUUGGGACUGAGACACGGCCCAAACUCCUACGGGAGGCAGCAUG
RNAcentral lists this ribosomal RNA (255 nucleotides) under uncultured bacterium. Its description in RNAcentral is "partial 16S ribosomal RNA". It matches the Rfam family "Bacterial small subunit ribosomal RNA", at positions 100 to 353 of the family's 1533-position model. The record is from RNAcentral.